AGUCAAAUGACGCUAACGUGCAAAUCUGCUAUUAUAGCGGUUCGACUGUAUUUACAGUGGAAUGUUAGUUGGAAUCUCUGCAAUCAUUUUUUGUUUCGCAUUGGCCCUUGCAGGUACCCAGGCUACCACGAACGUAAAUAUCCUUACAACGUCACCAAACAGUACUGGCAGGUGAUCGCCGCAAGGCUGGCCUUCGUGUUUUUGUUUCAGUACAUCGUGUACGGCGUCACGAAGUUUGUGGCAUAUCUAGUGCCUGACCGGCCUAAGCUCCUUGAGCUGAAAAUCAAACGAGAAGAAUUUCUGGCCAAGGAGGCUCUUCUACAGAGGGAGGUGGAAGAGAUUGAUGCAAGUGUAGAAGUAGUGGCUUAGCAAGCUUCUUCACGCCGACAAUUUACUGAAUGGAACCGUCCCUCAAAGUUCCUGGAAUUUAAACCACUCUAAAACACCUGAAAGAACAGCCCGAAUUUUGUUUUGUUUAAAGUUCUUCGAUAACAUAAUAAUACAAAAAACAGGAUAACUGGUUCGUGUGAAAAAUUGUUGUACGCUUUUACGUUUACAUCGUUGUACUUACUUCGUUAGGUUGUUACGAUUUGUUACUUUAGGUAAACAUGCCUUUGAGAAUCAAACGGUUAUGACAUCGGCUCGUAAUUUGUUUCACUGGUUAGUAACCUGACUAAACAUGUGUCUCUCAGUUUCGUCAUUUUAAUUCUUUCUGGAAGAGAUUCAACCUGAAAAAUCCCAUGCUGAUGACGUUUGAUGACGUAUGGAAGGUAGAGUUUCUGAUUGGUCGUAACUCUGUUUAUUGUGGCGCGCUAAUAACAACCAAUCCAAACACUUCACAGAUCCCUUGGGCGCCAAGUCAUCAGGAUUUUUUUCUGAAUGUCAACAAAUAAACUCUCCCCAACGUUUGCCUUGCAUUUGUUAUAACAGCAGUUGUGAGAAUUAGAUCUAGAUUGAAUGUAAGAAUUAUAUCCGCUUAGUUAUCACUUACUAUGUCCUUACCUUAUAUGAAUAUAAUAUUUUUUUGAGUAAACAAAUGUUCUUUGUCUUUAUUAAAAGACAGUUUUUAGGGAAUACAUUUAUUCCGAAAAAGAUGUUAAUAAAUGCUCAGUAAGAUCCUAUAUUUAUCAA
Long non-coding RNA from Orbicella faveolata, 1131 nucleotides. The record is from RefSeq and is a predicted model, not a curated record. Lineage: Eukaryota; Metazoa; Cnidaria; Anthozoa; Scleractinia; Merulinidae.